GUGGGUUCAAACAGCCAGCCUUUCCGCUAGUAGUCAAGCACUUAACCUUUUGUGCCUCCCAGGAACCUACUCCAAACCUUAGCUGGGUGCAAUGCCCAGGGGUGGAAAAACCUUCAGUGCUCCAAACAAAAUGUCAAUUUAAAAUAUUUACGUCUAUUUUGAAGAAGUGAACAACUCUAGGCAACAAAUCCUUUUGCAAAUUAAAAGAUUUCCAAAUAUUUUCUUUCAAUAGAAUUUAAAGAGGACUUAAUCCGGUUGUCACCUGAUGAAUCAUUAUAUGGUAGUGAGUGAUAUUGUUGAAACUCCUUCCAUCUACCAAUUUAUGGGAACAAGUUUUCUUAGGUUACAGUUAUAAAAAUAAAAAAGGAAGUAUUGAAAUGAAACCCAAAGUAUUCAUUCUUUGCAACUAUUUAAACUUAUGAUUAAAAACUAUUAUAGUUUAAAUGCACAAGAGGAACAUAGUUUUUCAAAAUUCUUUUAGGAGGUAUAGGAGCAAAACUUUUUUUUCAGAUUAUCUUUUCCUCUUUGUGUAAAUUUUGGUAGUUGGUCUUUUUCAAGGAAUUGGUUGUUUUCAUCUAAGUUAUAAAAUUUGUGGGCAAGAGUUCAUAAUAUUCAUUAUCUACUUAUUGUUUACAGCAUCAGUAGUAGUAAUCCCUCUUUCAUUUCUGAUAUUUAUAAUUUGUGUCUUCUCUCUCUCUUUUUUUUCUUUUUUUCUCAUCCUAGCUAGAGAUUUAUCAAUUACAUUGAUCUUUUCAAAGGCACAGGAGCAAAACUUUUGACCUUAUUAACGGGUCUGCCUUGUGGCCGGAACUGACACUAAAGGAAGCAGCACCCCCUUGUGGCCAGCACAGAGGCUGCAGCAGAAAUAAGCAUGGGAUCCCAGAAACGAGAUUUAAAGGAAAUACGUGCCAGAUACAAUUGACUUGCCAGCAAAGGAACCUGGAAAUGAAGUGAAAAACAAGUGUGCCGGUUCAGAGAAGGUAUGAGAGUGGGCGUCGAGCUGGGAAGCUGCAUGCUUACACAAGCAGCUGGAGAAAAGCAAAAAGGGUCAGAGCUCUGCAGUUUCCCUUCCCAAGACUGUCCGGUUCCCACGUGCGUUAGGGAGGAGUCUCUGUACGGGGGCGGCCAGGUGUGCGCCGUGGAGGAGAGAACAGCACGUUUGCAAAGCAAAGAAUAGGGGUACGCGAGGUCUGAAACUGGAAUAACAAGAUUUCAUCCCCAACCGCAGCGUCCCGUGGGGCGGGAAACCUGAAGCCAGCGCCCAAAAAGUUCCAAACAUCCUCUCGUCAGGAUUUGCUCUCAAACUGCAGACAAAAACGCAGAGUACUCAAGAGCGUAUAUCCCGUAGGUGUGCGGUUUAAAGGAAUAAUAAAAUGAACACCCACGGGCACACCAUGCAGUUUAAGAAAAAGGAUGUUCUCAAAAUUAAUCCUGUGUGCUCUUCCUCAGUCUCGCGCCUCACUCCCCAUCCGAGGGAGGAACUACGAUCCGGAAUUUUGUGUUAAUAGUUUCUCCACUGAUUUUAUCUUUUUCAAUCUAGGAACAAAUUCUUUAUUUUAAAAAAAUGACAGACGUACAAACAUACGAAACAUGAAAUCACAUCUCUAACCCGGACGGGGUUUGAUCCCAGCCAGCCCAGCCUCCGCUUCGCCACCUAGUGGUGGUCCAGAGCCAUCGUGUGAACACUAAGGUAUUUCCAGAAUAGAAAGGGUGGUGACUCACUUAUUUGCAUACCCAAAAUGCACUGCACAUAGUACAAGAUUAAAACGGCAAAAUUUUUAACUUUUACUAGACUCGUAUUUCCAAAAUACAAGUUCUAUUACAAAAUUCUGUAAAAACUUUUGUUCAGGCAUUGGGUUGCCCCACAGCUAGUCACCAUCAGUGAACUAGGACUUUCUGUUACCCGAGGUAUGAGUUACAAAAGUAGCGGAGUAUACUCUGGUUUCUCUUCAGAUCGUAUAAAUCUUUCGCCUUUUACUAAAGAUUUCCGUGGAGAGGAACAACUCUGAGUCUUAAACCAAUUUUUUGAGGCCUUGUUCCGGCAAGGCUAUUUAAGUUGUUUAACGAUAGACAUGAUAUUUACGUAUUUGGUUAGUUGUAGUGGUUUGGUCUACUGUUAAAUAGUGAUUGUGUUUUAAGCAGUAAUAGAAUUAAAUUUAUUUCUUUAGCGUUUAAGAGUUAAAAUUUAUCAAGCAUGAAAUUGUAAAACUGAUUUGUGGGAAACACUUUAUAGCAGUUUUAAUUUAUGUAUCUGGUAAGAGAAGAUAAAGAUUCUGUAGACUUUUCAGAUGUUCGUGAUUGUACACGAUUUUAACGGCAGCGGGAUUGACCCCAGAGAUGAGUUCAGAGCGAUUGUACCGCGCGUGAGGUUGCCAUGAGUCAGAAUUGAAUCAAGGGCAACGGGUAAGCGUUCUAGUAGCUACUCAUGUGUUACCUUCCAGACUGUCAGCCUU
Long non-coding RNA from Trichechus manatus latirostris (Florida manatee), 2453 nucleotides. RefSeq lists it as uncharacterized. Lineage: Eukaryota; Metazoa; Chordata; Mammalia; Sirenia; Trichechidae. The transcript has 2 exons. The record is from RefSeq and is a predicted model, not a curated record.